This 63-nucleotide transfer RNA is filed under the name Aquatica ficta. RNAcentral's name for it is "tRNA-His". Lineage: Eukaryota; Metazoa; Arthropoda; Insecta; Coleoptera; Lampyridae. The record is from RNAcentral.
AUUUAAAUAGUUUAAUUUAAAUAUUGAUUUGUGGUGUCAAAGAUAUACAUUGUAAUUUAAAUA